Molecule: non-coding RNA, 1331 nt
Organism: Misgurnus anguillicaudatus (oriental weatherfish)
Lineage: Eukaryota; Metazoa; Chordata; Actinopteri; Cypriniformes; Cobitidae
Source: RefSeq, a predicted model, not a curated record
GUUUAUUAAAGGAGACCUGACAUGGAUGACUUCCAAUGAGAAACGACUGCUAAUACUUAUAUAAAUUCAUUACAGAAGGACCCUACCAGACUAUAUUUGAAUACGACAUACCCAUGAAUUCUGGAACUUUUAUUUCUUAACCCAGUUUGGAGGAUAAGAGCUUACCAACUAUAAAUAUGCUGAGGUGAUGUUUUGCAAAAUAUCCAACAUACAACAAUGAAAGGAUAAUUGCAGCCUAUAUCCUGAUGAAGAUAUGGAUGACCCUCUGUCUGGUCAACAGGAGUUUAAAUAUGGACGGGACAGUUAUGUGGCAGCUCUUCCCUGGCUCAUUCACCUCUUGCCUUCAUUUGUGAAAGGAAGAAAGACUGGAGAGGGUCAAUGUGCAACUGAAGCUACUGAUUGUGCUGUGUGAUGAGCAUCAAUCCAUGCUUUGAGGGGGAUGAAUCAGCACAGCCCUGCCUGCUCUGCGUUGGGAACAAAAAUUGCAUCCAGAAUUUUUGCAUCAUUCUGGACCAAAAAGUCAUUCCCUGCAUGAUGAAGACCACUGAUGCAGCCUUCCAUUACUGUACAGUAAAACAACUACAGAACUAAAUACCAGGUUGGAACGUGUUUAAGAAAAAUGAAACGUCUUUUGAAUUGAAAUGUCUGUUUUGUUAUGGAAAAAUCUUUAGUAUUGUGAAGGAUAACAUUUCUGCCUGCCAGUAAGGUAAUUGCAUGUAUUUUAAUGUUCAAGUUUUGAGUAGGGUGGCUAAUUUUUUUUAACUCUUAUUUGAUUUAUUAAAGACCUUUAUAAUAAGUGGUUUUCAUGUCGCUGCACUGUGGUAUAAGAUAACUUUCAUUAUUCCAUACUGUAUUCUGUUUCUAAUUGUAGCUGAGGUAUUUAAAUAAGCAGUGUUAAAUGCAAAGUGUUGUGUGUAUCAAUGUAAAUAUUAAAUGUGAUUUACUUUAAUAAAAAGAGGUUUUGCAAUAUUUCUUGUCAUUUGUCUUUUAUAGAAACAACCCAUUAGCAACAAAAGUGGUUAUUACUCAGUAUUUUAACACUUAACAUUGUUGAAUUCACAUUACACUGGUGUUGACCUUAAAUUAGGAGUGUUAAUUUUUAACACUGUAUUUCUGUGCCAACACCAGUGUAGUGUGGAAACAACAAUGAAUAGUGUUGAACAAAGUGUAAAAUUUAACAAUAUUGAGUGUUAAAUUAACAUAUAAUGGGUGUUGUUAAAUUAACACUACACUUUUGACUAAAUUAACACAGUGUAGUGUGGACACAUAUACACACUUUGCCGGUGUUAAAUUUGACACCGUGGGUGUUAUUUUAACACCAGUGAUUUUGC